GGCGAGUUAGCCAAGUGGUAAGGCAGAGGUCUGCAAAACCUCCAUCGCGGGUUCGAAUCCCGCACUCGCCUCCA
Molecule: transfer RNA, 74 nt
Filed under: Chloroflexota bacterium
Lineage: Bacteria; Bacillati; Chloroflexota
Also listed under: 4 other names
Description: Chloroflexi bacterium tRNA-Cys
Rfam family: tRNA
About the family: Transfer RNA (tRNA) molecules are approximately 80 nucleotides in length. Their secondary structure includes four short double-helical elements and three loops (D, anti-codon, and T loops). Further hydrogen bonds mediate the characteristic L-shaped molecular structure. tRNAs have two regions of fundamental functional importance: the anti-codon, which is responsible for specific mRNA codon recognition, and the 3' end, to which the tRNAs corresponding amino acid is attached (by aminoacyl-tRNA synthetases). tRNAs cope with the degeneracy of the genetic code in two manners: having more than one tRNA (with a specific anti-codon) for a particular amino acid; and 'wobble' base-pairing, i.e. permitting non-standard base-pairing at the 3rd anti-codon position.
Source: RNAcentral